RNAcentral lists this long non-coding RNA (502 nucleotides) under Brassica napus (rape). RNAcentral describes it as "long non-coding RNA (BNAP_LNC003370)". The record is from RNAcentral. Lineage: Eukaryota; Viridiplantae; Streptophyta; Magnoliopsida; Brassicales; Brassicaceae.
GGGUGACGUGGCAUGAUGUGUUUGUUUGAGAAUGAUUUAUGUUUAUUCUACAAUGGGCUCAAAAAUGACAUUAAACGGGUCUUGGGUAUCACUGAAUGACUUUAAACUUGUUUAAUAGAUUUGAGUUUAAUGGUGUUACAAAAAAAAAAGAUUUGAGUUUAAUGAGUUUUCUUCAUUAUGGAUAAAUAAACUUAUUGGAAUCAUACAUGAUGGACAUGAUCAAGCUAAAGGUUAUAAAACGCUGAUCAAUUUAGCAUCAAAGAUGAAGCAACAUGAAAAAAACAUGUUUUAGUGGUGAGUUUUAGGUGUUGGGCUUAACAAGGAGAAGUGUGGGAAAGAAGACGAAGACUAAGUUAAAUAUUCCUUAAGCAAAUUGUGAUAUAGAAUCAGCUAUAUAUAUCACAAAGCCUUUUUUUUAUCGCAUUAUUUCCAAAAAAAGGCUCAAAUAACAGUUUUUUUUUUUUACAGCAAACAAUUUACAGAUUCAUAUUGACUCUGUAAA